GAUGAACGCUGGCGGCGCGCCUAACACAUGCAAGUCGAACGGCACCUGCCUUCGGGCAGAAGCGAGUGGCGAACGGCUGAGUAACACGUGGAGAACCUGCCCCCUCCCCCGGGAUAGCCGCCCGAAAGGACGGGUAAUACCGGAUACCCCGGGGUGCCGCAUGGCACCCCGGCUAAAGCCCCGACGGGAGGGGAUGGCUCCGCGGCCCAUCAGGUAGACGGCGGGGUGACGGCCCACCGUGCCGACAACGGGUAGCCGGGUUGAGAGACCGACCGGCCAGAUUGGGACUGAGACACGGCCCAGACUCCUACGGGAGGCAGCAGUGGGGAAUCUUGCGCAAUGGGGGGAACCCUGACGCAGCGACGCCGCGUGCGGGACGGAGGCCUUCGGGUCGUAAACCGCUUUCAGCAGGGAAGAGUCAAGACUGUA
RNAcentral lists this ribosomal RNA (429 nucleotides) under uncultured bacterium. RNAcentral's name for it is "bacterial SSU rRNA". It matches the Rfam family "Bacterial small subunit ribosomal RNA", at positions 28 to 477 of the family's 1533-position model. The record is from RNAcentral.